UACAGAGGGGGCAAGCGUUGUUCGGAAUUACUGGGCGUAAAGGGCGCGUAGGCGGCCUUCUAAGUCGAACGUGAAAUCCCCGGGCUCAACCCGGGAACUGCGUCUGAUACUGGGUGGCUUGAAUCCGGGAGAGGGAUGCGGAAUUCCAGGUGUAGCGGUGAAAUGCGUAGAUAUCUGGAGGAACACCGGUGGCGAAGGCGGCAUCCUGGACCGGCAUUGACGCUGAGGCGCGAAAGCCAGGGGAGCAAACGGG
RNAcentral lists this ribosomal RNA (253 nucleotides) under uncultured bacterium. Its description in RNAcentral is "partial 16S ribosomal RNA". It matches the Rfam family "Bacterial small subunit ribosomal RNA", at positions 524 to 776 of the family's 1533-position model. The record is from RNAcentral.